This is a long non-coding RNA of Vitis vinifera (wine grape), 461 nucleotides long. RefSeq lists it as uncharacterized. Lineage: Eukaryota; Viridiplantae; Streptophyta; Magnoliopsida; Vitales; Vitaceae. The transcript has 3 exons. The record is from RefSeq and is a predicted model, not a curated record.
AUGGACCAGCUUUUAUGAACUUAUGGAAGCCAUUGUUGAGCAGCCACCGCCUUGUGCAUCUACUAAUCAAUUUUCUGCAGAAUUCUGCUCUUUCAUUUCUGCAUGCAUACAGAAAGACCCAAAUGACAGAAAGUCAGCGCAUGAACUUAUGGCACAUCCUUUUAUCAGCAUGUACAGAGACUUGAAUGUUGAUCUUGCAACAUACUUCACCAAUGCAGGAUCUCCACUCGCUACAUUUUAAAAGUUUGUCUGGUAUGUUCUGUGCUUGGUAAAUCCUUUCUUGAAAAUGCAAGUAGUCAACUUCCUUGAGUUGAGCUUCUAAGGUGGGCUAGGCCUUUCCAAAUGAUGUUUCUCAUGUACUGGCAGUUUGCUUCAAUCAUGAGACAUGAAUUUUAACUUUGUCAUUCCUUUCUCCUGCUGUUACAUAGAUAAUAAUACUCUUCUCUUUCCUUUUUAAGCCA